Haplochromis burtoni (Burton's mouthbrooder) is the source of this 7042-nucleotide long non-coding RNA. RefSeq lists it as uncharacterized. The record is from RefSeq and is a predicted model, not a curated record. The transcript is spliced from 4 exons. Lineage: Eukaryota; Metazoa; Chordata; Actinopteri; Cichliformes; Cichlidae.
UAGGUUAUGGUUAUAGGUUGUAUAUUUUGUUUCUUUGGAGUUAGGUAAGUUUCUUUUAUUUCAACAUCAGGGAUGUUUGUUAUGUUGGCCUUGGCUCUCCCUGACGUUAUACCUCAGUCUGAUCCCAUCACCAGUAUUAAAUAAACCUUUUAAAAUUACCAUCUUGGCUCCUCCUUUUCUAUCCACAUUUAUGUUCGUCCCUUCAACCCCCCCUAGACUAGCCAGGGGACGUAACAGGGAGGAACAGCCACACAGACACAGAGCGUGAACAUCACCUCUGUCUGUGCUGUGUUGUUCACAACCUUUGUUCUGGGCUUUUAAGUGGAGGGUGGAGCUUGUGUGAUGAAGCUGAGAGCUGUGUUUGCACAUGCUCAGUGUGACAGGAUGUUGGCUGCUGUGAAAGCUGAAUGCUCUCUGGCUAGAAGUGAUGUCACACAUUAGGAUAACUGUGCUGGCUCUCUGUCAGAGUACCAGGGCCUCGCUUUGACCACACGACUCUCAGUACACAGCAUGAUGUGUGCGAGGAGCAGGACUGAGGUAAACCUCUGAGGGCUCAAACUGAGACUGAGCUCCAGAUGUUUCCACAUGUUUCUGCUCCACAUGUGUUUGAUGAUUAUUUCAGGUAUAGAUGAUGAAAUAUGACCAGUCUGAUGUGAACCUGCUUCUCUGACAGCGCCUCACCUCUCUGCGCUGCCCCCUGCUGGCUCUUAUCAUUACUGACUGAGUCCUUGACACACUUACUGCCACUUUAUUAGGUACAGCUCACUAACACAGGCUCAGACCUGCUUUGCCUUCAGAGCCGCCUUAAAUCUUCAUGGCUCAGAUUCAGCGAGGUGCUGGAAUCAUCCCUCAGAGUCAUGUGAUCAGUGACGUCUGCUUCAGUACUGACUGAUAGAAAAGUGCCUCCACAUAAACACGAUGUGUAGUAGUAAUAAUAAUAAUAAUAAUCAAAUAAUUUUCAGCUUUUCAGCCCUUUGUCUGGAUGCUAAUCCAGCUGUGUGUGAUUGUGAUGACAAUAAAUAAAUGUCAGACUUACAGCUCCUGUUUUACUGCAUUAAAGUGAUCAGAUGACUUCGGCGCUUUGACAUGGAUGGUAGUGAAAGCAGGAAAUGACAAACGUAGCACCGCAGCAGCGUUUAACACGUCUGAGCUGGAAACACAAACUCUGGUAUGAACAUCAUUCAUAGAACAGCUUCCAGCUUCUUUUGCUCUGCGACAGUUUGGAUGGAUUUGCAUUUAAAGAUGCUAAGAGACUAAAAUGGUUAGGGUCAGGAGGUCAAAGGUCAGAGCUCCUGUGUGUCUGAGGGCGGCUUCACGCUGGAGAAGGAUGAAGGAGUCUGACCUGAGCCAGUGUUCGACAUGAACACAUCAGCACUGCUGUCAGUGAGCCUAACGACAGCCGUUAGCAUCAUUUCAGUGUUUUGGUCAUAAAAACACUUCCUGUCACUGUGGUGGUUACAGUGACAUCAUGCAGUUUGUGUUUUGACCUCCAGAGGGCGACAAAUCAGCACAGACAGAGAGCUCCAUUCAAACUUUGCUGCCAUCAGUAAUAAUUCUUCAAAUAUAAUCAUCAGUGUUUGUCCCUGAUAUCAUAACUGCAAAAUCUAGACAUGUGACAAUAGUGAACAUGUCACAUGACACACCUUAAACAUCAUGUGAUCCACUCUCAGUCUGCACUUUCAUUCAUGACUUCAACAGGUUGAAAUGAGCUUUGAACAAUCGUCAGUUUAGUGCUGAAUUAUUCAAACGCUGCAGGAAGAACAAAGUGAUGACAGAUGUUUGUGUUUGAAACAGGAAAACCAGCAGAAAUAAAUCACCUCUGGACAACCUGCCAGAGAUGAUUUGGGAGUUUCCCACGUGCACCUGAAUGCAGCACUGACUGUUUCUCAAACGCUCCUGAUUGUAACGGUGUCCCAAAACGCCUCUCUGACUCUUUCCUUCCUGCUCAAAGUUCCUUUUUUUUUCUUGGUGUUUGUGGCUGAUGCUGAUCGUCUCCGUGUGAAGCUCCGUGUGAAGGUAACCCGAGCAGUGGGUAAUGUUUCCUGACUAACAUCAGCUGUGUGCAGCUUAGUUCCAGCACACAUCUGCCGCUCCAUAGUUCACGGUAACGGACUCACAGCUGGACCAAUGAGGCCGACCGUUAAACUGUUGCCGAUAGCCUGUCUGUAAAAGAUGUCUUCAUGCUUGUAGUUAUUAAAAAAAAGACUCCACAUUGAGUCGGUUUGAAUGUUUUCAGUGAUGAUGUGUAGAAAAAUAACAAUGACGACUUUUUAAAGCUGUGUGGACAGGGUGGAGUUCAACAUGUGGGGCAGUGUGGAGGUGCACAGGUUUAUUUCUGGACUCCUGAUGGUUUCUAUAGCGGUUUUGCACAUGACAUCAUGCUGUCAAGGUCGUGAUCACGUUCACAGAGAGUCUAUUGUUACUGUCGCAGGUACAAAGAAAUUAAAAGCAGAAAGAGAAUCUUUUUUUCAUCUCUUUCCUGUUUCUGAUAGAAGACGAGGAACAAAAACAUGAUAAUUAACAGAUACAGCAAUCAGAUAAACAGUAUAAAAGUAUUGUAACUAUUAGGACUAAAAGUAUUUGGAUUUUUAAAGGUCAAACAAUAUGUGAUGAUUAAAAAUCUUUACAUUUUUAUUUUCCUUUUUUCUUUCUAUUCUUGUUUUAUUUUAUUUUAUUUACAUCUUCAUCUGCCUCCAGCACCACCUUCAGCUUCUCUCUUCCAUCUGAAACUCUUCCUCCUCACUGAAGUUAGGCUUCUAAUGUGACAAAUCCUACAUGAAUAUACUUAAUUCAUCUCAAUAUUGCCUCAAUUAGUCAGCAGAUCGAAUAACUGUGGUUUUCAGGGUUUUUUGUACCUACUCCACUGGGGUUGCAAGGUGAUCCAAGCAGGUGCUAAAAUGUGGCGUUGCCAGGCUGUAUGUCGCUGAUUGACUGAUUCACUGUCACCACAAGAUGUGUCAUGAGACGGUCUCCUUCAAACAAAGCAAACUCACCAUGUUUAAGAUGACAGUGAAAGAAACGGACGGGCAGAAAGCAGCACUGUGGUCAAAUGAAGAGGUGCAGACCUUUUUGUGCACAGUGGCUGAAGAACAAAUUCAGAUGAAGCAGAAUGAAGUGAUCCGCAUUGCAAAGGUUGGCUGCUAAAGGGACCAAUGCACAGUAACCAGUGGCUUUAAAAACUGAAAAGUGAUUACCGGGCCAUCAAGGACCACAAUGGCUGACGUGGGUCCAACAGACAGGACAGGAAGUGGUUUAAUCAAACGGACGUCAUUUAUGGGCGCUGACCAGCGAGCACCUGGAGUGAGAGAGGCCUCGACUCACGGCACUGCUGGAGAACAUGGUGACGUUUGUGAAUGCUUCGUGUGUUUAAUCGUAAUUGUUCACUUUGAACAAGCCAUGUUUCAAUAACACUGUUGUCUCUUUGCAGAUACAAAGCUAGCUAGUUCUCUGUUUAUGCUAACUCCAUCCUCAGCUAGUUUUUGUGCUUACUGAGAGAACAACAUAAAGUUCAAGCCACAGCUGAAGAACUACGCUUUCCUCCAAUUUAAUGUCAUUUGUGUCCUUUUGCUGUGAAACCUUUUCUACAUGCGAGGGCUUUUCAUACAUCUGGAUUAGCAUGGCCCUCCAAGCUCCCCUGUUUGUUGCAGGGGCAACCUGCAGGCGGGUCCAUUCCACUGCAGGGCAACCUGCACGUGGCGAAUAAAAUUUGAACUUGAACUUGUGCCCCAGCUCUAGUUGGUGUAGCGGUGCAGACGCCACGCAGCGAUGCCCCAUCACUGGCGAGAGGAAGAGGACACAAUGUAAACCUGGCUGUACUAGUGUGCUUGAGGCAUGGCAGCACAGGGCGUAGGGAGGAAAAGGCAAAACGGCACAGGUCGCUGCCUUCAGUUAGGCAUCCCUGAGUGUGGUCGGUUACCUCGCUUCAGUAAUGCGUGGCCACCGUGGCUGAUGUUUCAUCUCAUCCAUGGACUUUACCCCUUUGAUGUAAAACAAAAGCAAAAGCUUUACAUUUCUCUACUUUGUAGCUUUUGGUUCUAAGAGAGGUUUAGUACAGCUUCAGUGUUGCACAUAGAAAACAAUUUAUACAUGGCACAUUGUAAAUAGUUUGAAUUUUCCAGAGCGUCAUAAAGAAUUUAGUGAUUGUUGUUUGUGCAUCAUAUAUUUUUUUCACGAAUAACCAACAUUUGGCACAGAUGUGCCAGGAUAACUCAUUUUGAAGAAAAUAAAAACAGUCUCUCCUUUGCAUUAAGUCAUUGCACAAAAAUCUACAUCUGUUUAUGUGCCAGAGAAAAAAUCCUUUAUUGUAUGUGUUUUGUUGUGUUUGUGACGUUCAGCCACACUGAUGUGGUUCUACACUGUAAUGGGACACCAGUCGAUCUGAGUCGGGUUGAUACUAAUGGAAAAGGGCUUAAAUGUGUCCUGGGCUCAUUAACUCUUUAGCUGAUUAACUUCUAGUUAGUUAGCUUAGCUAGCAGUUAAAGUGUGAUCACUGUGUAAGCAGUCAGCUUGGUCCUGAAAUAAAGCUGCUCGCUGCCAUUUCUACAGCCGUGUUUGACCUGCUGCUUUGUUGAACUACAGUAAUGGAGGAUUUGGAGGCUGAACUUGGCUCUGUGACACUUUUUGUAAUGAACUGAUAAAAACUGUCUCAGGUGGAUGUUAGUCCAACACGUCAGACACGACCUCUGCAGCUCUCAGUGGAUGUGCACUUGAAUGCUUCGUGUUUCCUCUGCAGGUGAAGGUAGAAAGUGUGUGUGAGCUGAUGUGAGUUCAGCAGCAUGGAUCAGUGUGAGGACAGAGAGGAGGGAGCCCCUCCCUCUAAAGCCACUCUGUGUGGGGAACAUGAGAGCCAGACCAAAGCUCAGAGGAACCCACCUGGACCUCCACCCAGCUCUGUGUCCUUACAGAGCGACCGAGUAAAAAAAUUGAUCAAUAAAUUUGAACAAAGACAGUUAUCUGAGCUCCAUCAGAGACUCAAACCUGGACCUAAACCCAGCUGUGUGUCCUUAAAGAGCGACCAGUCUGGAAAUCACUGGAUUAAUUUUAAAGUCCAGCCUCCGUCUGCUGCAGAGAGGUGAGCUGUUAGUAAAAUGAACUCUUUGAUUUAACUGCUUGAUGUUGUUGGAUAUAAACUGCAGUGCAAACACGUCAUUCCCUCAAUCCCAUUUAAACCGUCUCUUAAAAACAAGCCUUUGGUUUCUAAACAACUGAAAAUCUACUUCAGCAAACAGGAAGUGAUACUCGUGCUCAUGUUUUCUUCCAUCAGUCACGUGCUGUAUGUUGGAGGAAGUUAGAGGACGUAACACUAACUCUGCUGCACAGAUUUCACUUUGACUCAUAAAACUCAAAGCUUAAAAAAUGAUUCAAACACUAGUUUUUAUUUUUACUUAAAACUGAAGUCACUCAACAUUUUUCUCCACUUUUCUGAAAAUCCAUCAAAUAAAAAUCUUCUAAAAUGUAGAAAAAAAAGUUUCCUCUCUGACUUUGUGCCUUUUGGAGAUCAGUUCAUCUGCUGCUCACUGAACUGUUGGCAGAAAUGUGUGCUGCACAUGGUAAACACACAAAACUAUACUGACGACUGCUUUAAGCAGGUGACCGACACCAAAAAGUUAAUUGUGCCAAUUAAACUGUCAUAGUGAUAGUGUUCAUAUUAUUAUGUUGGGUGGUUGAGCAAGCAGAUUGUUGGAAAUUUCAGCAUGCAGUUAAUUUUUAUUUUAUUUUCCAGAGACUGGAUUUCAUUCCAGUACAUCCCAUUACAACCAGUACAGUUAGCUAACCAAGCGACGGAACCUCAGCACUUCAAGCCUCCCACACCAUCGCUUUGGCAGUUGUUGCUAGCUGUAUGCUGCUGUAGCUCAGUCAAAAGUAACUCAGGGAAGGAUUUCGGCAUGCUCAAGUCAAAAACUGGACUUUUCUCUACCAGCUGUAUCAGAAUAGCCUGAUCACAACACACGUCAACUUUUGCUGCUGCCUUGGCGUAGUGUACGAAGGCACAAGGAAACAAAUCUGACACUCCGCAAUUUGCAACAUCACGCCAUGCAGAACAGCAUGUUAACAAGUUUAAGCAGGGAAGGCCAUGAAAGUUGCACUAGCAGGAACGAAAAAUGAAAGAGAUGCCAUUUAAAGCUCAAACAGGAAGUGCUGUCACUGAAAGAAAAAACUUAUUUGUUCAAAUUGAUGUUGGUAAAAACAUUAAUCUGGUCGCUCCAGUGAGUUAGUUCCCUCUUAGGUCCCUUUGUGUCCCUGCCUCCCCAGUUGUGUCCUCGUGUCUGUCUGGUCUCUCUGUCUCCUUGGCUGUAUGCGUUCCUUGUCUUGUCUCGUUAACAUGUCUGCAGUUCUGGUCCUUGUGUUUUUCCUACAUGGUCCCAUGUUCUUCUUUUUGCGUCAUGUGCUUUUGCCUCCCAGUCUGUUGUGUGUAUUGAUAGGUUUGUAGCUUAAACCUAUUCACUGGAACGUUGAAGACAAUAUAAUUACACAGCAAGCAAGACACGAAGUAGGCAAAGUUCUUCAUGUUUCUCGUGCACGGGAGAGAACCGGACAAACGCCGUUCCUUCCUUUCAACUACCUAUUGUUACUAAAUAGAUAGAUGAAAGCAACUGUGCUGUCAGGAUUUGUGUUUAGAUCUCCAUCAGGUUCAGCAGUCAGUAAGCAAAAGUUAGCCAACCUUGUUUUGGUGGCUGGUUUCAGAAGUUGAGAAACUGCUAAGCAUUCCAAUGCAAAGCCUCAAAGAGUAGAAACACCACAGUUCCAACUACCAACCGCGAGCCAACCUACAACUUUGAUGGUAUUGUAUGAUAAUGGACUUCAUUUCCCUCGUGUGAUCAGACAGAUCACUAAGCAAACACAUAUUUGCCCCAACAGUCAAUCAAUUCAUAGAUAUGACUGGUAGACACAUUUUAUUUUCAGGUGUGCACAUUUUCGGUGGGCUCUGAAUUAGGGCUGCCACAAAUGAUUAUUUUCAUAGUCGACUAAUCAGAUCAUGCGUCCACUGGACGUAAAACGUACAGCUUAUUGCACCAGCAGCAUCUGCUCUUAUAUAACUAUC